GACGAACGCUGGGCGGCGUGCCUAACACAUGCAAGUCGAACGAAGAAUGUUUUCGGAAUAUUCUUAGUGGCGGACGGGUGAGUAACGCGUGAACAAUCUGCCCCGUACAAAGGGAUAGCCUCGGGAAACCGGGAUUAAAACCAUAUAACACUUAACUGCCGCAUGGUAGUGAAGUCAAAUCGAUUAAGAGGUAUGGGAUGAGUUCGCGUCUGAUUAGCUAGUUGGUGAGGUAAGGGCUCACCAAGGCGACGAUCAGUAGCCGGCCUGAGAGGGUGAACGGCCACACUGGAACUGAGACACGGUCCAGACUCCUACGGGAGGCAGCAGUGGGGAAUAUUGCACAAUGGAGGGAACUCUGAUGCAGCGACGCCGCGUGAGUGAAGAAGGUCUUCGGAUCGUAAAACUCUGUCCUUGGUGAAGAAAAGGACGGUAGCCAAGGAGGAAGCCCCGGCUAACUACGUG
This 462-nucleotide ribosomal RNA is filed under the name uncultured bacterium. RNAcentral describes it as "bacterial SSU rRNA". It matches the Rfam family "Bacterial small subunit ribosomal RNA", at positions 28 to 507 of the family's 1533-position model. The record is from RNAcentral.